AGCGAACGCUGGCGGCAGGCCUAACGCAUGCAAGUCGAACGAACCUUUCGGGGUUAGUGGCGGACGGGUGAGUAACACGUGGGAACGUGCCUUUAGGUUCGGAAUAACUCAGGGAAACUUGUGCUAAUACCGAAUGUGCCCUUCGGGGGAAAGAUUUAUCGCCUUUAGAGCGGCCCGCGUCUGAUUAGCUAGUUGGUUGAGGUAAUGGCUCACCAAGGCGACGAUCAGUAGCUGGUCUGAGAGGAUGAUCAGCCACAUUGGGACUGAGACACGGCCCAAACUCCUACGGGAGGCAGCAGUGGGGAAUCUUGCGCAAUGGGCGAAAGCCUGACGCAGCCAUGCCGCGUGAAUGAUGAAGGUCUUAGGAUUGUAAAAUUCUUUCACCGGGGACGAUAAUGACGGUACCCGGAGAAGAAGCCCCGGCUAACUUCGUG
RNAcentral lists this ribosomal RNA (434 nucleotides) under uncultured bacterium. Its description in RNAcentral is "partial 16S ribosomal RNA". It matches the Rfam family "Bacterial small subunit ribosomal RNA", at positions 29 to 507 of the family's 1533-position model. The record is from RNAcentral.